GUCUAGGUUUAGCACGUGCGAGCCACACGAUUCAUCCCUGAAUUGGAUUUGGGGAUAGCAUUCUUCAAAUUAGGGCUUCCAUUUCAUUACACGAGAGAGUCUUCUGUCUCUCUACAAACCCCCAAACCCCAACAAACACAAGCUAAACCUUCUCAAUCCCUCUCUUUCGCGACCCAGAAAUGGCCGCCACAGCCUCCUCCUCAUAAACCCAUUCACCUUGUUCCUCCUCUUCUUUCGCAGAUUCGUUCUCUUUGGGUUUUGUUUUUGUCCAAAACCAGAUCGUCACCAAAACCAGAUCGUCUAAAUACAAGACCAGAUCGUCUUCUUCUUCCUCCACACCUCUCCUUCGAUCACCACGUGGCUCUCUUUCUUUCGCCCGCUCGACCGAUUUUCCCUCCAAAACUUCAAAUAUGUAGUGAAUGAACUCCGGGAAAUUAAAGUUGUGGAUGAGCACAACAAGGAAUCAGUGGUAGAUCUGUUGCAGUCUGUAGUGGAGAUAGUUACCUAUGGGGACAAACAAGACCCGAUGAUUUUUGAAUAUUUUAUGGAAUGUCAAGUUUUAGCUGAGUUUCUUCGUGUACUUAAAAUUAGUAGGGAUUCGAGAAUUGAAAUACCAUUGCUUCGCAUUCGAGCAUAAUGAUUCAAAAUAUGGAUAGUGAGCAUGCAAUUUACUAUUGUUUUAGCAAUGAUUAUAUCAACAACAUCAUAGAACAUCAGUACCAAUUCAAUCGAGGGGAUCUGGCCCAGUAUUAUGUAUCCUUUCUAAGGUUAUUUGUGUGCUCUUUUAAAUAAUUUCUGUUUGGAAACUUGGGCCUUCUUUUUGUUCAUUUGUGAUAAGCCAAGUGGUUUUGCUGGUUAAUUUCUGUUAUAACAAUUUCUUGUUAGUUAGCUCUUAAGUUGUAAUUAUCAGCUUACUCUUUAUUGUUACAACCUUCUCUAAAAGAAAGGGGCUGGUCUCAGAAGUUCAGUACAUUUGCAAAAACUUCUGAGACCCAUUCUUGAUUCUUUCA
Long non-coding RNA from Cannabis sativa, 1010 nucleotides. RefSeq lists it as uncharacterized. The record is from RefSeq and is a predicted model, not a curated record. NCBI's taxonomy places the organism in Eukaryota, Viridiplantae, Streptophyta, Magnoliopsida, Rosales, Cannabaceae. The transcript has 5 exons.